GCGAAAGUGGCGGAAUUGGUAGACGCACUAGUUUCAGGUACUAGCGGUCGCAAGGCCGUGGGGGUUCGAGUCCCCCCUUUCGCACCA
RNAcentral lists this transfer RNA (87 nucleotides) under Acidobacteriota bacterium. Its description in RNAcentral is "Acidobacteria bacterium (groundwater metagenome) tRNA-Leu". It matches the Rfam family "tRNA". From Rfam's summary of the family: Transfer RNA (tRNA) molecules are approximately 80 nucleotides in length. Their secondary structure includes four short double-helical elements and three loops (D, anti-codon, and T loops). Lineage: Bacteria; Pseudomonadati; Acidobacteriota. The record is from RNAcentral.